RNAcentral lists this small nuclear RNA (119 nucleotides) under Jaculus jaculus (lesser Egyptian jerboa). RNAcentral describes it as "U4 spliceosomal RNA (ENSJJAG00000004120.1)". It matches the Rfam family "U4 spliceosomal RNA", at positions 1 to 117 of the family's 138-position model. Rfam says of the family: U4 small nuclear RNA (U4 snRNA) is a component of the major U2-dependent spliceosome. The structure of U4 snRNA from yeast and human has been reported. Lineage: Eukaryota; Metazoa; Chordata; Mammalia; Rodentia; Dipodidae. The record is from RNAcentral.
GAAAUUGCACAGUGGCAUUAUUGUAGCCAUUGAGGUUUAUACGAGGUGCAUUAUUGCUAACUGAAAACUUUUACCAAUACCCCGCCAUGAUGACUUGCAAUAUAGUUGGCAUUGGCAAA